GUACAAUAAAAGAGUGGCCAUCAGCCCUCUCUGCAUCUAUCCUGAUGUGUACAUUGGAUUGGGACACCAACAUAUGGUGACCCUGACAUGAUCCAAGAUCGGCGGUAUUAUUGGAGGAACCAGGGUACCCCGACAACAACAUACAGGCCUGCACCAAAAGGAAGAAGAACCUCUGGUGAUGUAUGCUGACAAUUUACCUUUUUGUAUGGUUUAUCAAAACAAAAGCACAACAUGUGUCACCUUUCAGGAACAAAUGUAUUUUUAUUACCAACCUAAGAAAGGACAACAGACAGCCAAUCUGACACACAUUACUGCUAUAUCAACAUCUUACGAAGACAAAAGUAAUGUCACAGAAGUUCCUUCCAUCCCAAUUUGCCAUCCAAAAACUGAUUGGCGUUACAAACAUUACUCAGUACAGUGGUCCCCUUGCUGUACAGCAUAUCCAAGGAGGGGCAACAUCUUUGGGGCCAACGUGCUGGAUUAGGGACCUCAUGGACAUCUUUUGAGUGACAAUCAUACUUGGGCCUCCAACAUAUCAAGUCAGAAACCUAUAACAUGGAGCAAACACAGCCUAUCUGGACCCCUUUUACAACUAUCUUACAAUGAGACAGUGUAAAGCCCCCUUCACAAAGGAACGUGGAGGAUCGGGUUGCCUUUUAUAUCACAACAAUUUUCCCAUGGCAAGUAUGGGAAUGAAACUGGCAAUUAUUUACUAACAUUGGUCAAAAAUGUUUCUGAUACCGUUAUGAUUUGUACCACCCAUCCUUAUGUGUUAUUAUGGGGAAACAGUGUCCCUGCUAUCCAAGAAUCUUCUGGUAUGUACGUGGUUAAUAUUUCUCCCCCAUAUUUGUAUUCUGAUUGUUUAACACAUUAUAAUGUAACCUCAUUGAAUGUGACCUAUGUAAUGGCGUUAAAAAGAAAAGCACAUAAUUGGUUACCU
This 940-nucleotide long non-coding RNA is filed under the name Equus caballus (horse). Its description in RNAcentral is "lncRNA (ENSECAG00000053476.1)". The record is from RNAcentral. Lineage: Eukaryota; Metazoa; Chordata; Mammalia; Perissodactyla; Equidae.